UCGCUGUAGGUGAACCUGCAGCGGGAUCAUU
This 31-nucleotide ribosomal RNA is filed under the name Leptogium cf. lichenoides HR51. Its description in RNAcentral is "partial 18S ribosomal RNA". Lineage: Eukaryota; Fungi; Ascomycota; Lecanoromycetes; Peltigerales; Collemataceae. The record is from RNAcentral.